Small nuclear RNA from Otolemur garnettii (small-eared galago), 107 nucleotides. The record is from Ensembl. Lineage: Eukaryota; Metazoa; Chordata; Mammalia; Primates; Galagidae.
GUGCUCGCUUUGGUAGCAUAUAUACUAAAAUUGGAACGAUAUAGAGAAGAUUAGCAAGGACCCUGCACAAAGAUGACAGGAAAAUUUGUGAAAUGUUCCAUAUUUAA